RNAcentral lists this ribosomal RNA (526 nucleotides) under Fusarium oxysporum. Its description in RNAcentral is "eukaryotic LSU rRNA". The stretch from base 207 to 360 matches the Rfam family "5.8S ribosomal RNA". Lineage: Eukaryota; Fungi; Ascomycota; Sordariomycetes; Hypocreales; Nectriaceae. The record is from RNAcentral.
UAGAGGAAGUAAAAGUCGUAACAAGGUCUCCGUUGGUGAACCAGCGGAGGGAUCAUUACCGAGUUUACAACUCCCAAACCCCUGUGAACAUACCACUUGUUGCCUCGGCGGAUCAGCCCGCUCCCGGUAAAACGGGACGGCCCGCCAGAGGACCCCUAAACUCUGUUUCUAUAUGUAACUUCUGAGUAAAACCAUAAAUAAAUCAAAACUUUCAACAACGGAUCUCUUGGUUCUGGCAUCGAUGAAGAACGCAGCAAAAUGCGAUAAGUAAUGUGAAUUGCAGAAUUCAGUGAAUCAUCGAAUCUUUGAACGCACAUUGCGCCCGCCAGUAUUCUGGCGGGCAUGCCUGUUCGAGCGUCAUUUCAACCCUCAAGCACAGCUUGGUGUUGGGACUCGCGUUAAUUCGCGUUCCUCAAAUUGAUUGGCGGUCACGUCGAGCUUCCAUAGCGUAGUAGUAAAACCCUCGUUACUGGUAAUCGUCGCGGCCACGCCGUUAAACCCCAACUUCUGAAUGUGACCUCGGAUC